RNA transcript from Durio zibethinus, 1510 nucleotides. It is a transcript of the gene named transcription factor bHLH81-like, with no coding region annotated. Lineage: Eukaryota; Viridiplantae; Streptophyta; Magnoliopsida; Malvales; Malvaceae. The record is from RefSeq and is a predicted model, not a curated record.
AACAAUAAAUAAAUAUAUAAUAUUAUAUAAGGAAAGAGAAAGGGUUUCCACCAUUUUCUCCAUUGAGGCUGAAUAGGUUCACAAACACCAAUAAGAGAAAACGCUAGCUCCUGGAACUGAACCGAAAGCAGAUGCAACCGACUCCUGGCGGCAGCAGCAGCUCUACUGGUGACGCUGGUGGUGGUGGUGAAGUGAGUCGAGGUGGACUCGCCCGCUUCCGCUCCGCUCCAGCCACCUGGUUAGAAGCCCUUCUUGAGGAAGAAGAAGAGGACCCUUUAAAGCCUAACCAGUGCUUGACUCAACUACUCACUGACAAUUCAACAACACCCACCACUCGAAAUUCUGUGCCUUUUCCUAACUCAGCGGAUCCCGCUGGGUUGUUUGAACCUGCCUGUUUUCACAGGCAAAACAGUUCUCCUGCUGAUUUUCUUGGGAAUAAUUCUGCUUCUGCCUCUGAUGCCUACUUCUCUAACUUUGGAGUUCCAGCAAAUUAUGACUAUUUAUCGCCAACUGCCGAUGUCUCUCCCUCGAGUAAGCGGGCUAGAGAACUUGAUACGCAACACCCACCAACAAAGUUUCAGUCUCAGUUGAAAGGAGAGCAAAGUGGUCAGAUUUCUAGCGGGUUAUACAAUUUGAUAGAUGGGGAUAUGGAGAAACUUUUGGAGGAUUCCGUACCUUGCAGGGUCCGUGCCAAGCGUGGCUGUGCUACUCAUCCUCGAAGCAUUGCAGAAAGGGUUCGGAGAACGCGGAUUAGUGACCGGAUCAGAAAGCUUCAGGAGCUUGUACCCAACAUGGAUAAGCAAACCAACACGGCAGACAUGCUAGAAGAGGCCGUAGAGUACGUUAAAUAUCUUCAGAGACAGAUUCGGGAACUCACAGAGCAUCAAAGGGAAUGCAAAUGCAAAACUAAAGAGUGACUGGUACCUAAAUAUUGGCUACCUAGUGCUUAGUGUAAUUAUCAGCUUUAUAACCGUCCUGUCAAAGUACAUUAUGGUUGUUUCUGAUAAAGUUAUCUCGUAGAUCCAGUUGUUUCUGAUAAAGUUGCCUCGUAGAUCCACAUUGUAUUUACAACACCUGCUAUGUCGCAUUCUUUUCUGCAAUACGUAGAUGUGGCUGUUCUGAAGCUACAAUUACUCAAGAGUUCACGAUCUGGAUCUCUGCUUCACUUUCGCUUGUACUGCUCCUCAAAGAUCACCUGUUUCAUAUGAUAUCGAUACUCCCUGGAGUUCAAAGGUCAGAAAAGAGUUGGAACAACACUUGUUUGGUCACUUGGUCUGCUGAAUCUGUUGAAUAUGUGACUGAGCAAGUCUCAGUUGUGGUUGUAAUUGUAUAACAAUGGGAAACAAGAGUGCAAUACAUAAAUGUGACAACUUAGUUAGAGCUUUGGUUAUUCUGCUGCAAUGUCUAGAUAACGUGAUUUGGCUGAAAACUGAUUAGUUGAUUAAAGACUACAAUUACUAUAAUGUUUAUGAUAUAAAACAGUAAUAUUUUUGGAAUUGUAGUUAAUUUA